Molecule: long non-coding RNA, 6247 nt
Organism: Mus musculus (house mouse)
Lineage: Eukaryota; Metazoa; Chordata; Mammalia; Rodentia; Muridae
Product: predicted gene, 52705
Exons: 2
Source: RefSeq, a predicted model, not a curated record
GACUCUACUGCAGACCCCCCAUGCACACACGCCUCUACGUUUUUUCAGGUGCUGUAAAGGAAGCCCAAUGCUCCCCACAUGUGGACAUCCCUGGCACGCGCCUGUGUGUGUGUGGGUGCACGGGUUACGCUAUAGCCCCUCCAAACACGGGCUGCUGGUGCGGGAGGGCCCCUCCCCACUCCAGGCCACCCGGUAACCAUGGCGACGGCAAAGAGGCGGGUGCCACGGUGGAAGGGCUGCGCGCGCUUGUGUCCGAGCGGGUGCGCGCCUCCGCAUCCAAGUCCUACUGGGCGCCGCCCUUCCCGCCCCCACCUAGGCGGAGCAGCCGUGCCCCCUCCCUGGACCCUGCGCCUCAGUUGGGGGGGUGCUCCCCCUUAGGCAUUCCAGCUCCACCAACGCAGCGCACCCAGCUCCCGCCUGCUAGGGUCCAGAACAGUGCAGAAGACUCUAAGUUGCCUCUGCAUAUCCAGUCCGCAGUGUCGGCCAGGUCCUCCACUGCACUGUUCCCAGAGCAGAAAGAGAAGUCCCUUAGCUUUGGGGGACUCUGGAGAGGGACCAACACAGUAGCCUAGACCUGGAUAGCCUCUAUACAUAAGUACCACACAUAAUCGAAAGUCUGCCCCUCCGGCACAGAUCUGUGCACCUAGAGUAAGCAUCCAAGUGGUUCAUGAAUGGCUCCUGUACCCAACUGGCCCUUCAGAUACUGCGGUUGAGAGACCCUUCCCUGGAGAGGUCCUGUUGUCUUACAGCUCAGAGAUGACAGGGCAUGUGGGAGGGCGUGUCUAAGGGGUGGGGUGGGGAGGAUACAAACGACAGAGACAGGGAGCAUGGUUGAUGUCCCUCAGCAGUAGAGUUAAUUACUAUAACUCCACCUCUCAUCUGCUAUCUUGGUGACUUCCUGGAGGAAGGAGGAUCAAGAAUGAUGCAAAGCAAAAAGCUUUCCUGCACACUGCCGGGUAAAGACUAUAGCCAGGAUGGAGGAAUACUAAACAGCAAGACUCCUGCAGGCAGAUCCAGAGGCGGCAUGCAGAGGUGUGGGAACACGGGUGCGAGGACAUGCAAAGUCAGACACACACAUGAAGAGACACACGCACCUGGAGACACAGUAAGACCAAACCCACAAACAAACCUCUGUGGGUGGCCAGGCCCCACCCUGCCCUUUGGCACUCCAAGGAAGCCCAGGGCCACCUCAGUUCAGCCCCCCAGAACAGCUCCAUCCUCAGCAGAGACAGGGUCAAGACAGAGCCCUCCCCAAACCUGUAAGCUCUCCCGCUCAGUGCCUAGCCUGCACCCCACCCCCAGGCUCCCAGGCGGUAAGGGGGGCCCAAGGGGCCUCAGCGCCCAUCUCCCUUCGCAGCUUUCAGUCUCGACUUUCAGCUGUUUUUCCAAGAGAAAACUCCCACCUCUUCCAGCACUCAGAUUUCAUCAAACUUGGCAUCUUAAAAGCCUGUUUUGUUUUUGAGUCUGAGCUGUUUGGGGCCUGUCGGCAGCCACGGCCUCCCCCACUCAGUAAUCCCCCCUCCCUUGGGUUUCCCUGGCACUCCACGGAGUCCUACUCAACCUGGCAGGUGAGGCCUCCCCACCGUGCGGACUGGACUCAGUGGACCUGAGAGCCACUGCCUGGUCCCCACACUCAGAUUCUGCUCAUGCUGGGCUCUCCCUCCUGAUGCCCCUCUACCCCAAGCCUGCUCAGGAAUUUUCUUUUUAGCCAUUUACCUCUCUAGGUUCAGCCCUUGCUCCCAGUCACUUCAGACCACUGACAGCCUCCCACUCGCUCUUCAGCCCCCUGCAGCCCUGCUGCCACCCCCGAGGCUUCCGGAAGCCUGUUCACCAAGGUCAGUGCCAACUGCAGAGCUAAAUCCAAAGGACACUGCCCAAUACUCAUCUUGCUUGGCUUCUCCUCCUUCAUACUCUUCCACUGCCUCCCCUGCUCUGGCUCCCCCUUAGCUCCCAGGAACCUCCUCCCAACAGUGAACGCCAGUUCCUGGGGAUCCUUUUGGCUUGGCUUCUUGGCUCUCACGAUUCCAUCUCCAGCCCCUCAAGAGUGCCAGGCAAACCCAUGUGAGGCCUUCUCACAUCUUUCCUUGGAUGCCUGCACACACCUGACUUGACAGACUUCAAAUCAGACUUAUCAACUCACCUCUUCAGUCCUGGGCCUCUUCCUGUAUUUCAAUCUUAGAUAGAAAAUUGGUUCCACUGUCUACCAGCCUUGAACCAGGAAUGCAGAGCCAACCACCCCUGGGGUGUCCCAGGCAGCUGGGCUGGAUGCUACCUGUCAUGCUCUUGAUCUAUCUCCCUUCCUCUUCUUUUCACAAGGUUCGGGUGAUGCUGGCUUUUGCUAGUUGGAUUGACUACACCUACCUCUCAUUGAUACACUUCCGCCCUACUUUGCAUCAACAAGGACUUCUCUGAAGCAUGAAUCUGCCCUUAGUAAGCCCUCUUCUCCCCUGGCAAUCAGGGUGAGGAGGAUACCUCACCACAGAUGGAGAAUAUACAUCCAGGGGUAUCUAAGACCUCCAACUUUGAGAGCUAUUUCUAGCGCUGCUGGUUCAGCCCAUGAUCAUAAGCUGGGCAGGGAGACGGGGGGGGGGGGUGGUGGUGUGGUGUGGUGUGUGUGUCAAAAAGCACAGAGCACAGAUGAGACACCUGUGAGCACGGGCGUGGGGAACUAGGUGGGCACAGGCCACAGCUCACAGAAGGGGACUCCGUUCAAAAGGAGUUCACUGAGCUCUUCGAAGACUCUCAGAACUGGAAACCAUGAGAGGAUUCCAGGAACCAAGAAACCCCGUGUCUGACCUUCCAGCUGCCUCUACUGCCCCACUCUACUGCCCCAUUCCAGAUGUGCCUUCCUACCCAAGACUAUCUCUGUCUGAACCUCCAAAAUCUGGCUAUAGUAUUUCAUAUCUUCAUGGUCCUGAGAUCUGUUGUGGUCACAGGAAAUGGAGGUUACGUCCUAAAGGCCACUGGACCAGAGGUAUAUCAGUGUCACUGCUGCCAGGGGAGAACAGGGGUUGCCUAGAAUUCUAGGUUUGGGACUUCCUGUAGUAGCUCUUUCACCCUCAUCUUUCCACCGAGAGUGAAAGGAAUAGAAAGGCUUAUGGUAGGAAAAAAGGUGGGGCAGGGAAAAAUGACCCCUAGGAAAGCACUCAUCCUGCCCAGCUCAGGACAGGGUCACCAUCAGUCUUUUCCUCUGGAGCUGCUUCCAAAGAUCAUAUGUGUGUGUUGGGGGAGGUGUGUGUUUGUGUGUGUAAGUGUGCGCGCACACUUGGGCGAGCGUGUGUGGCAAGAAGUUAUCUGUCACCCUAAAGCCUCAGAACCCACGAGGGUGAGAGCAAAUGCAGAACCCACGAUCCAGUGUUAACUGAAACGCCCUCUUUUGCCUGCUCUCCAGGUUAGGCAAUGUGAGACACUCUAGCUGGAUCCAGCCAAGUGGCAUAGGUGGUACAGUCUGGCCCACUUAGCAGACACAGAGCCCAAGAUGGAAGCAGGUAGAAGGACAAGUGUGUAGGUGGGGGGUGGAGAAGACAGAAGAAGUCCUAAAUCCUAAGGCCAGGUUUGGUCAGGACUCCUAGUGUGCCCUCCUCCUGGCUUGGUCACAGAGGAGCUGCUGAGUAUGAUGGCAGCAGAUGACAACAACACUCUAGCCCCAACCACACUGACCAGCAUUCGUUGUUGUCCGCUGUUCUGUGGGACCCCAGAAACAACAAAUCUGAAUACAGCACCUGACGUCCCACCAGCACCAGACUGACCCUACACAUCCAGCUCAGACUGCUGACUCUCUCGCUGUUCACAAAGCUAAGGUAUAAUACCACCUGCUGUACACCCGUAUCACACACUCACUCACACACACACUCACCCUAGAUACUACCUGCCAUGCACAGAUGCGUGCACAUGCACACAUCUCACUACUGCACAGAGCCCUUAAAGUACAUACCACCUGCUUACACAUCAUGCCCCUCCCCAGCUGCCUGAGGCACACUGCUGGUAUACACAUCCCUUCACACAUGCUCACACCACUGUAAGCACAUCAUCUUCUAUGUGCACGAAAUGACAAACAUCCAGCCCUUGAGCCCGGCCCCCAGGACAAGUCCUACUCCACUGCCUCUUGUCCCCAUCUUCCUUUGGGCAUUCGGUGUCCCUUCCAGAACUUACCCAGUCACUAGGGCUCCACCACAGCUUUGGCUGUCUAGCCUCCUCCCUGGAGUUCUCCCCAACCAUGGUUCUGCCUGGCCUGGACUCUGCAAACCCUGGGGACUCUAAUGACCUCCAAACUGAGCUCAACACCCUCACUAUCCCCCUCCACCUCGGAAGGGAAAGCCCAGAAUCAAGGCCUCACUCCCUUCCCCCACCCCUCCCCUCCCUUGUGAGGGAAAAUGUCAGAUUCCCUGUCUCAGUGGCGGCAGCGGGCGGGUUGGAGGGGGAAUGAUUCAGCCGCCGCCUCAAGAGUGCCGAGCGAGAAGAGCUUUUCCUGCCAUUACCCGGCGAGGGAGAGGCUGGCGCGCUAAUGGCUUCAAUUACCACUCAGACAGGAACGCUGGGCGGCAGGGCCCUGGUACUCAUCACAGCCCAGGACAGGACAGGCCCAGCCCCAGCCAGCUUGUGCUGGACACCCCACCUUGCACCCUGACAGGGAUGUUGGCACACCGGCUGGCCAUCCCAGCAUAGUGGGCUAGGUCUCACAAGCUGCACCAGCAGCGGCAGAGUACGGAGACUCGUGGGGGACCUGGCAAUGGUGGUGUCCCCAGAGGCUGCAGUGAGAGUGGACUGAGCUGGGCCUGGGGUGGUAGGAGGAAGGGCAGAAGGCCCCAAAGGAAGUAUAAUACUGGGGUUCCCUUUUGAAGACACACUGCUCCUGCACCUGGGCCAGGUUCCCCAGGCAUUACCCAGGAACUCCCCAAAGCACCUGUCUCCUGAUGCACAGGCGGGCACAUGUGUGUGAGACGUGAGAGCAAAGCAACCAGGCACUAUCUUUCAGCCCCUAAGCCAAGUUUAUCUCUCACUACUAGGAUUCUAUGGUAGUCUCUCCAUAGAAAAUGGCCCUGGCUCUCCCCUCGUGUCAACCCCAGAGCUCCAAAAAAAAAAAAAGCCAUCUUUUCAUCUAUUGCAGGCAAGCACCCCAGCUUUCCUGCCCCCCACCCCAGAAGAACAGGGAGGAAAUGAGGCAGGGUUGCUUUAGGCUGCCUCUCCGUGGUCUUAUCCCCUGUGACAUUCCUUUCUGCCAAGCCUUAAGCUGGUCAAGGUUACAAAGACAACAGGACAGGUCAGCACUUUUGCCUCGCUGGUGCAAUAUCUCAGGAGCAGGAGGGGCCCACGAAGCCCACAAUUCCAACCACUCUGGUGUAGUAGGGACCUGUCUGUCUCACACAUCAUCAGACAUCUUCCAGUUCCCAGAUGCAUCAACAUAUAGCCUGAAGCCCAGGUCUGGGGAUAAAAGUCCAUGUCUAGUACCGGGGUCCAUCCCAACACCACAUAAGAAAGAACACCCUCUAAUCCAUGGAAAGAAACUCUUGACCAGGAAGGCCGUUUCUAAUGGCAACCCUAUGCCAAGUGUGAGUUCUCUUCCCCGGGCCUUGAGAGACCCUUUAAAGGGUAAAGUUGACAGGGCAGUGGGAUGUCUUAGAGGAAUCAGCUCUCCAGUCUCACAAGGAGACUACUCCCUAGCCGGAGAGCCUCAGAGGUUGCCCGCCAUGAUAGGGAUUAUAGUUCUAGUCUUUUAGACUCCACUCCAAUACAAGGCAGGGUACAUGACUCUCACACCAACAGGUGAAAUCCUUUCUCCUGGGUCACAAAUUGGAGGUCAGAAAUGACCAGAAGGAACCUCCAAGCCAGUGGUUUCAGCUCAGACCUGGUUGUCUGGCCCCCUGUCCCCAAAUGGAACGGACAGCAGGGCUAGCACAACCCAGUGACACCAAGCAGCAGCGGCUCAGGUUGUCUACGCUUCAGAAUGGACUCUGAGAUCCUGGGCUACAGGGAAAGCUCCACACUAGCUUGGACUGUGGGUACGAUGUCCUGGAUCCCGGUUGGAACAAAUGAGGCCCAGCGUUCCUGUCUACAGGGGAGGGCCGCACACAGCUCUAUUAGAACCCACUGAUUCACACGAGACACACAGAUGCAAGAAUUACUGAAUGGAUGCAUGUGUGAACACAUAAAGCCAAAGCAUAAAAAUGGCCAAUGUGAAAAGAUGUUCCACUGCUCUUGUAAUCAAAGAAAUGCAAAUUAAAUUGAGAUGCCAUUUUUUGCCUAUUAA